Molecule: ribosomal RNA, 517 nt
Filed under: uncultured bacterium
Lineage: Bacteria
Description: bacterial SSU rRNA
Rfam family: Bacterial small subunit ribosomal RNA
Source: RNAcentral
AGAACUUAGUAGAGAUGCUUUGGUGCCUUCGGGAACUCUGAGACAGGUGCUGCAUGGCUGUCGUCAGCUCGUGUUGUGAAAUGUUGGGUUAAGUCCCGCAACGAGCGCAACCCUUAUCCUUUGUUGCCAGCGGUUAGGCCGGGAACUCAAAGGAGACUGCCAGUGAUAAACUGGAGGAAGGUGGGGAUGACGUCAAGUCAUCAUGGCCCUUACGAGUAGGGCUACACACGUGCUACAAUGGCGCAUACAAAGAGAAGCGACCUCGCGAGAGCAAGCGGACCUCAUAAAGUGCGUCGUAGUCCGGAUUGGAGUCUGCAACUCGACUCCAUGAAGUCGGAAUCGCUAGUAAUCGUGGAUCAGAAUGCCACGGUGAAUACGUUCCCGGGCCUUGUACACACCGCCCGUCACACCAUGGGAGUGGGUUGCAAAAGAAGUAGGUAGCUUAACCUUCGGGAGGGCGCUUACCACUUUGUGAUUCAUGACUGGGGUGAAGUCGUAACAAGGUAAGCGUAGUGCU